GGGAAUGUGGCUUAGUGGUAAAGUGCUUGCCUAGCAUGCAUGAAGCCCUGGGUUCAAUCCUCAGUACCA
RNAcentral lists this transfer RNA (69 nucleotides) under Dipodomys ordii (Ord's kangaroo rat). It matches the Rfam family "tRNA". From Rfam's summary of the family: Transfer RNA (tRNA) molecules are approximately 80 nucleotides in length. Their secondary structure includes four short double-helical elements and three loops (D, anti-codon, and T loops). Further hydrogen bonds mediate the characteristic L-shaped molecular structure. tRNAs have two regions of fundamental functional importance: the anti-codon, which is responsible for specific mRNA codon recognition, and the 3' end, to which the tRNAs corresponding amino acid is attached (by aminoacyl-tRNA synthetases). tRNAs cope with the degeneracy of the genetic code in two manners: having more than one tRNA (with a specific anti-codon) for a particular amino acid; and 'wobble' base-pairing, i.e. permitting non-standard base-pairing at the 3rd anti-codon position. The record is from Rfam by way of RNAcentral. Lineage: Eukaryota; Metazoa; Chordata; Mammalia; Rodentia; Heteromyidae.